RNAcentral lists this ribosomal RNA (636 nucleotides) under uncultured bacterium. RNAcentral's name for it is "bacterial SSU rRNA". It matches the Rfam family "Bacterial small subunit ribosomal RNA", at positions 94 to 765 of the family's 1533-position model. The record is from RNAcentral.
AGCGGCGGACGGGUGAGUAACGCGUGGGAAUAUGCCCUUCUCUACGGAAUAGCCUCGGGAAACUGGGAGUAAUACCGUAUACGCCCUACGGGGGAAAGAUUUAUCGGAGAGGGAUUAGCCCGCGUUGGAUUAGGUAGUUGGUGGGGUAAUGGCCUACCAAGCCGACGAUCCAUAGCUGGUUUGAGAGGAUGAUCAGCCACACUGGGACUGAGACACGGCCCAGACUCCUACGGGAGGCAGCAGUGGGGAAUCUUAGACAAUGGGGGCAACCCUGAUCUAGCCAUGCCGCGUGAGUGAUGAAGGCCUUAGGGUUGUAAAGCUCUUUCAGUGGGGAAGAUAAUGACGGUACCCACAGAAGAAGCCCCGGCUAACUCCGUGCCAGCAGCCGCGGUAAUACGGAGGGGGCUAGCGUUGUUCGGAAUUACUGGGCGUAAAGCGCGCGUAGGCGGAUUGGAAAGUUGGAGGUGAAAUCCCAGGGCUCAACCUUGGAACUGCCUUCAAAACUAUCAGUCUAGAGAUCGAGAGAGGUGAGUGGAAUUCCGAGUGUAGAGGUGAAAUUCGUAGAUAUUCGGAGGAACACCAGUGGCGAAGGCGGCUCACUGGCUCGAUACUGACGCUGAGGUGCGAAAGCGUGGG